UUGGAUUGGCAAUUUCCGAAAAAGUAUCACCUUCUGGCUUCUACAUUAGGGAAAAAAGGGUCUUGAUUACCUGUACCUUUAAAAUCCUACAGCCCCUAUAAUUAAUGGCUUACUAGUUUUUUCCUUUCUUUUUGUCAUGUUAGGUGUAAAUUGUAAUAUUAUGAAAACUUCUAUUUCUUGGAAUUGGUUAGGGGAUAAUGGUAUGAUGACUCGUCUCUUUGGUGUUGAAGAUGACUUUGGAGAAGAUGCAAUCCUUGGCAGGCUUGAGGGCAGGAAAGACGUAAUCGAGCAAGUGAACCAGCAAUUCAGGGAUCCAUGAUGACAGACGUAUAAAAUUAUUCAGGUUUUGCACCGCAUUCGCCCCAGUUGAAGUGGAUAUGAGCAUGAAUUUAUGGGAAAGAACAUUCGCCCCAAUUAAUUCUUUUGGUUCCUUCUAAAAAAGAAGUGGAAAGAGAAAUAGAAAUUGAUGAAGAAGAAGAACAAGAAGAGGAACCAACGACCCCUAUUGGGAUACAUAGAUUUCGACAGUCAUCAACAAGAUCACAUGAAGAACAACAACAACAACAAAAACAACAAAGACAAGCUCGUGAUGAAGAUGAACCAGUAAGACAACCUUUUCUGGCAAUGCCACCUCCUAGUGGUACAACUGUUUCACAUGUGUGGUCGUAUUUUACAAAAGAACCAACCGAUAAUCCAGAUGUUUUCUUAUGCACUUGUCAAAUUUGUGAAAGUCAAGGAGUAAAGCCCUUAGUUUCAUACAAUUUCACCAGAGGUGGUGGUACGAGAUCUUUUAACAAACAUUUGGCAAAGAAGCAUGGAAUCACAAAAGAAACUCAUGCAGCAAGCGGCAGUGGGACCACAAGUGGAAGCCGACAGUGGGACAUUCUCAGCACAGGUAUGCCUUUUAAAUAUAAUCGUAAUGAUAUGAUUGAUGAAUUUUCUAAAUAAGUAAUUUUUGAUGAAUUGCCAUUUAACCAUGGUGAAAGUAGGGCAUACGAGCAUUACACUAGAAAAACUUUGCAACCACAAUAUAGAGCAAUCCCUAGGAACACUCUUAAACGACGCACAAUUAAAUUAUAUGAAUCAAUGCGCUAUGAAUUAGUAGAAAUGUUUAAAUCAUUUAAUGGUAAGGUUAGCAUAACAACUGGUAUUUGGUCUGCUCCCCCACAUAUAGAAGCUUAUAUGUGUGUAACAGCACAUUGGAUAGAUCAAAGUUGGAUUAUUCAAAAAAGAAUAAUUGCUUUUGAGGGAACGCUCGAAAGACAUACGGGUGAAAAUAUAAAAUACAGAUUAAUAGAGAUAUGUAAAGAAUGGAACUUAUUAAAUAAGAUAUUUUGUUGUUCUACCGAUAAUGCAACCGCCAACAUUAAAUGCAUCGAACUUUUGUAUAACGAACUUGCAUUUAGUUUUAUCCUUGAGGGUAGAUUAUUACACAUACGUUGUUGUGCUGAUAUAGUAAACUUAUCUUGCCAAGCAGGUAUAAAACAAUUAAGUCAUUUAUUAGAUCCCAUUAGAGACAUAGUGAAGUGGCUUAGAAUUGGACAGAUAAAGAGAAGAUAUAAGCAAUUAUGUGACCAUUAUCAACUAAAAAAAGUGUAUUGGUCAUUAGAUACUCCUACACGUUGGGGCUCAACCAACGAUUUAUUAAGAAAGCGAUUUCUUAUCGUCCAGUUAUAACACAACGUUAUAGUGAGUGUACAGAUAGCUAUAUAAAUGAUGACACAUGGGAACAUAGCUAUAGGUGUACAGAAAAUAUUAGAAACGUAUGACCACGCAACUAAGAUUUUUUCAUAUGUUUACGAACCAAACGUCUACUUAGUAAUAAGUGAGUGUAUUACUAUUUUUUAUCAUCUUCUUAAACAUUUGCAUGAUGAUACUAACCCAUAUUUAAAGCCGAUUCUUGCAGAUAUGAUGGAUAAGAAGAAGACAUAUUUUACUGAGUUUCCUUUUAUUUAUGAAAUUGCGACAAUUUUAGACCCAUGUUUUAUGACAGAAGUCCUUACUAAAGUAAUUGGAUUUUACUACCAAUCAUUAGAUCGCCCGCCUAAUGAUGUACAUAAUUAUGUUGGAACUUGUAAAAAACUUUUAGUAGAACUUUAUGAUUACUAUGCUAGUGUAUAUAACCCAAGUCGCGAUACGUCUAGGCGUGCUAGUGUCUCGGCACGUCCCUCUUAUUAUAAUUCUGUAAUAGCUAACAUAAUAAGCCAAGAUGAUAGUUUUGUAGGAUCAUCUUCUUCUUCACCCUCCACUUCAUAUUUAGAAUUAGAUAAUUAUCUUAAACAUCACUUUGAAAUUGACCAAGGUAGCUAUAAUAUUUUAGAAUGGUGGAAAGAAAAAUAUAUAAAUUUCCUAUAUUAUCGAGAAUUGCAAAGGAUAUCCUUGCAAUUCCUGCUUUUACGAUUGCAUCGGAGUCUGCUUUUAGUGCAGGUAGAAGAGUUUUAGACGAAAAAGGAUCUCGUCUUGCUCCACAUAGUAUUCAAAUAUGUGUUUGCAAGACAUAUUGGGAUCAAGCGGAGCUUUGAACACAAGAACUAAAGAACGAUGAUGAUCAAGGCGAUGAUGAUGAUGCAUGGAUGAUGAUGGAUACAUCUGCAUCAUCGUCAGGAGGAGAGUCAGCGGAAGCAUCUAACCAACUAGAUGAUGAUGACGAAGACGAAUAGGAUCAAUCGGAUAACGAUCAAUCAACAUUCAACAACUACAAAUAAAAGGUAUGACAAAGAACUACGUGGGCUUUGAUUCCUUCGGGAUACGUAGGCAGCUUAGUAUUCCUUUGGGUACUAGGUUCAAGUCCAUUUGCUCCCUUUUUUUUUUUAUUAAUCAUCUUUAUCGUUGAUUCGUUUCUUAUUAAUUUAUUUUUUUUGAUUCUUUUUAGUAAAUAUUUUAAUAACGAUGACAAGCAAUGAAUUUCGCUAAUAAUCAAGUAAUCAUCAAAGGUAUGUCUGCAAUAUUAUAGUAUUUUUAUAUUAUAUUUAGAGGAAAAAUAAAAAUGGAAUUGAUGGUCCGAUCCGCGAGUUGGAACCGCCGGAAACGCUUCAUGAACCGCCAAGGAACCGUUUGGAACCGUCCGGAACCGAAACAGGAACCGGAACGUUCGAAUCAGGUUCCAAAUGCAAGUUACAUACAACUUGAUUCCUUAGAAUUAAGGAUAAUCUUCCUAAAUAAGGAAAUCACUACCAAUUACACCCAAUUACCUAAUUAUAGGAUAUACACCAAAGAUUAUAUUCUAGUCAAAAAUAUUUCCUAAAUAUAUUUUCCGAAUCAACAAUAUUCCCAAAAGAUAUUUCAACAAUAUUCCCAAAAGAUAUUUCAACAAUAUUCCCAUAAUAGAAAUCUAGGCCGUUCCAAUUGCCGGUCAAGAAAUAUUUCAACGCUUGUUGUUGCAAGAUGCUGCGGUGAGUUCACUGCUUGCGAUAUCUGAUGCAACAGUCUUUAUAAGUGCUUGUAUUUAGAAUUUUGUUUAAACUUGAUUGUGGGACAGGGUGACAUUCUAAAGGCUAGUUUAUUGGAGGAUGAACUGAUCCUGCUCAAUCAAGAGUAUAUUAUCACAAAUGUGACUUUAAAGCGGGUGGAAGAAAAAUUCCAGACAAGGAGAGGCGAAUGCCAGUUAUCCUUCAUCAAUCGGACCUCCAUUGAGUUCUAAUAAGAUAAUAUAGGUUCUGUUUCAGAACCCAAAUACAUCACUAUUGCAGCACUACCCAAGACUGCUGAUACUUAUGACAGAUUCAAUACAUGAAAUCUAAGGAUAAACAAUGAUGCUUAUUAGUUGCUUUACACGGAAACAAGAUUCACACAUUAUAGCAAUUUGAUCAAUUACUUUGCAUUAAGGUGCCUAUGCAUAGCUAAUCAUUCAUAUACUAUAUUUCUUAUCUGUUAACCACCUUUAACAUCCUAUAUUACUAUAUAUAUUAUUAGCAUUAUGAUCUUUAUUAAAGAGAUUAGGGAAGUAAAAAGCUGAAUUGAAAGGCAAAAUUCUGUUCGUGAUGUCUGCAUCACAAAUAACAGGUUUGUUGCAUGAUCGAUUGUUCUCAGAUAUUUGAAAUUGUAUCUGAUGUUUUUCUUAAAAAAGGUAACGGGGGUUUAUCUGCUAAAAAGCUCUCAUCAACCGUUAGUUGUAUCUGUAUGGAAAGACUUGGCCUACGUUUUAGAAGGCAAUGAUCUGAUUGUUAAGGUUAUGGGUUUCACAAAAAUUUCAUAUAUAAGUGUAGGUUUCAGUCUGUGAACUACAAUGUCCUCUUACAUCUUAGAGGCACCAACUAGCAAAGAAGUAGAGUCUCUUGACCAAUGAUAUAUUCUGAUGUUGUUAAAUGUGACUUAACUAGAUAAAUAGCUGCUUGUCUGACAACCACAUAUGCAGGUCUAUCGUGCACUCUCUUGUAGUUUUCUAAACAGGAGAACAAUUUUUAAAAGAUUGGCACAUUCAACUGAAUAUGAAUUCAAACCAUUGUUGCAGUCAACACGAAAACUAUAUGCCAAGCCAUUUUCUCUUCUGUGUUAUCAGGCUUAGUGUCUAUAGUGCUAAUAAAAAAAUACUUGGAUUGUGCAGGCAUCAGACACCAUCCAGGAGAAGGACUAUUGAAUAAGGGUAGGCAUUGAUCCAUUUAGUUAGGCAGAUUCCUCACGUGUGACGAACCCAAACAAAGGGUAUACAAAACAAAAUAUGAUGUUUUUGACUGUCCAAAUUCCUACAAGAGAGAGUGCUAUUUUGUUGACUGAAAGUAGUUAAUCAGAGAUGCCUAACUAAUAAUUUUGAUGCUAGACUGGGGUUAAACUUUUUGGCACGUGUGCCACGGGAAAUUUGGAUUUGUUGGUGUUUACGGAUGCAGUUGCUGAGCUGUUUGAAAAGACAGUCGAUGAAAUCUAUGAACCUGUCAAUGAUGUAAGUUCGUUCAUCAUGUUAAUUGGUCAUACUAUGCACCCAAAUGUCUAGCCUAAACAAUGUUUUAUUGACGCAAAAAAUUGGAAAGUGUUCCAGAGCUAGAGGAGAUGGCUGGGGUUAUGAGGUGAAGUACACUAGCAUUGAUAGCUCUCUGCUUCCUUUUGCGAUGAUUUCCGCAUUGAUCACGAAAUUCUUCCAAAUCUCAGUCGAGUCCCUCUCCGUGCACAACGGAUCUGCCACGAAUGCCAAAUACCAUUGUAUAAAAUAGAUAAAAGAAUUAAACAAUAAAACCAAAACCUUUGGCCCUAUAGAUCUUAUCGGUUAUCAUACUAAAAAUGCCAGCUCAAAUAAACACCCCGCACAUCCUUAAGUACAUAGCCCAAAGUUUACAGGAGUCCAUGAUACAAGCAAUUGAUGUAGAAAUACAAGACUCAAUAACACUUAUCACUUAUAAAAUAAUAGCUAAUAAUCUACUAGUUUGCUAAUUGUUAGUGUAAGAGCCAAACUAUCCAUGUUUGGAGAUGACUUCAACCACACAUUGGGCAAUUCACUAACAUGCCUUGACGAAGGAUGUGUGGUAAAUGCAAAAGAGGAUGUGAGUAUUGAAGGAAAAGCUUUAUUUUCCAU
Molecule: long non-coding RNA, 5503 nt
Organism: Amaranthus tricolor (Joseph's coat)
Lineage: Eukaryota; Viridiplantae; Streptophyta; Magnoliopsida; Caryophyllales; Amaranthaceae
Exons: 7
Source: RefSeq, a predicted model, not a curated record